This 250-nucleotide ribosomal RNA is filed under the name uncultured bacterium. RNAcentral's name for it is "partial 16S ribosomal RNA". It matches the Rfam family "Bacterial small subunit ribosomal RNA", at positions 524 to 773 of the family's 1533-position model. The record is from RNAcentral.
UACGUAGGUUGCGAGCGUUGUCCGGAUUUAUUGGGCGUAAAGCGCGCGCAGGCGGCCACGCAGGUCCAAGGUGAAAGCUCCCGGCCCAACUGGGAGAGGCCCUUGGAAACUGCGUGGCUUGAAGGCGGGAGAGGCAAAUGGAAUUCCCGGUGUAGCGGUAAAAUGCGUAGAUACCGGGAGGAACACCAGUGGCGAAGGCGAUUUGCUGGCCCGCCCUUGACGCUCAGGCGCGAAAGCUAGGGGAGCGACC